RNAcentral lists this ribosomal RNA (253 nucleotides) under uncultured bacterium. Its description in RNAcentral is "partial 16S ribosomal RNA". It matches the Rfam family "Bacterial small subunit ribosomal RNA", at positions 524 to 776 of the family's 1533-position model. The record is from RNAcentral.
UACGUAGGGUGCGAGCGUUGUCCGGAAUUAUUGGGCGUAAAGGGCUCGUAGGCGGUCUGUCGCGUCGGGAGUGAAAACUCAGGGCUUAACCCUGACAUUGCAUCCGAUACGGGCAGGCUAGAGUUCGGUAGGGGAGACUGGAAUUCCUGGUGUAGCGGUGAAAUGCGCAGAUAUCAGGAGGAACACCGGUGGCGAAGGCGGGUCUCUGGGCCAUUACUGACGCUGAGGAGCGAAAGCGUGGGGAGCGAACAGG